RNAcentral lists this long non-coding RNA (421 nucleotides) under Musa acuminata (dwarf banana). Its description in RNAcentral is "long non-coding RNA (MACU_LNC001135)". The record is from RNAcentral. Lineage: Eukaryota; Viridiplantae; Streptophyta; Magnoliopsida; Zingiberales; Musaceae.
UAAAAGACAAACUAAUUGUAAAGAUCAACAGAUUUCCUCCACUGAAUCAUGCAGCAGGCAGUAUAUAUGUCAGUGCAUCCAGUUCACUAGUCGUCAUUCCAACUUCAAUUUUAUUAGCAAGAUUAAAAGGUUACUUUUAUGCUUUGGUGCCUCCAAUAAUAAAAAAAAUGAAAAAAGAAACUUCCCCUUGUCCAGAACAGCUACACAACAGAGUGAAGUUGAAAUUUUAAUUAGCCUGUCUAUGUCAUGACACUCAUUCUUAACAUCCUAAGACAAUAAACUAUCUUUAUGUAAAUAAAUUUUGACUAGCCUGUCUAUCUUUAUCUAAAUAAAUCAACUAGUCAAAAUUUUAGGGUCAUCAACUUUUAGGGCAGGUAUUGACCAAAGAUUGUUAGCAUGACAUUAGUUUAAAUUUUAAAAU